GAAAAGAAACCAACAGGGAUUGCCCCAGUAACGGCGAGUGAAGCGGCAACAGCUCAAAUUUGAAAUCUGGCUUCGGCCCGAGUUGUAAUUUGCAGAGGAUGUAUUUGGCGCGGUGCCUUCCGAGUUCCCUGGAACGGGACGCCAUAGAGGGUGAGAGCCCCGUCUGGUUGGACACCAAGCCUAUGUAAUACUCCUUCGACGAGUCGAGUAGUUUGGGAAUGCUGCUCUAAAUGGGAGGUAAAUCUCUUCUAAAGCUAAAUACCGGCCAGAGACCGAUAGCGCACAAGUAGAGUGAUCGAAAGAUGAAAAGCACCUUGAAAAGGGGGUUAAACAGUACGUGAAAUUGUUGAAAGGGAAGCGUUUAUGACCAGACUUGUGCCGUGUGGCUCAUCCGGGGUUCUCCCCGGUGCACUCCAUACGGUUCAGGCCAACAUCGGUUCUCGUUGGGGGAUAAGAACAGUAGGAACGUGGCCCUCUUCGGAGGGUGUUAUAGCCUAUUGUACGAUACCUUGAUGGGGACCGAGGACCGCGCUUCGGCUAGGAUGUUGGCGUAAUGGUCAUUAGCGACCCGUCUU
Molecule: ribosomal RNA, 575 nt
Filed under: Melanconis itoana
Lineage: Eukaryota; Fungi; Ascomycota; Sordariomycetes; Diaporthales; Melanconidaceae
Description: eukaryotic LSU rRNA
Rfam family: Eukaryotic large subunit ribosomal RNA
Source: RNAcentral